Molecule: ribosomal RNA, 210 nt
Filed under: uncultured bacterium
Lineage: Bacteria
Description: partial 16S ribosomal RNA
Rfam family: Bacterial small subunit ribosomal RNA
Source: RNAcentral
GUUCGGAUUGUAGUCUGCAACCCGACUACAUGAAGCUGGAAUCGCUAGUAAUCGCAGAUCAGAAUGCUGCGGUGAAUACGUUCCCGGGUCUUGUACACACCGCCCGUCACACCAUGGGAGUUGGAAAUGCCCGAAGUCGGUGACCUAACCGAAAGGGAGGAGCCGCCGAAGGCAGGUCUGAUAACUGGGGUGAAGUCGUAACAAGGUAUC